GCUACAAAGUUUUUAGAAAUAAUGUGUAUUGGAGAAGUAAAUAUAUGAAUAUCUUUGAACAUUCUCUGUCUAAGCCAUCUUAACCCUAGUUUUUUUGUGUGUGUCAGGAGUGACUUGAGAAACUGUAAGUCGCUUCUGGUGUGAGAGAAUUGGCUGUCUGCAAGGACAUUACCCAGGAGAUGCCUGGAUGUUUGAUGUUUCACCAUCCUUGUGGGAGGUUUCUCUCAUGUCCCCACAUGGGGAAUCUGGAGCUGACAGAGGGAGCUCACCUGCUCUCUCUGGGAUUCGAACAGCUGACCUAUUGGUCAGCAGUCGGUUAGCUCAUAGUGCCACUGGGGGAUGAUACAAACUAGAGCACAAGUAUUUGCCACAAAUGUUUUCAUUCAUCAAGAAUGAAAGUCGGAGGUUUGAAGACAAUCAGAUACCAUAAAUGAUGCCAAGUAGCGAUCCGGCAGCAUUACUCCCAUGACCUGCCGGGAACCUUCUGGGAAACCAAAGUCUUUGAGUUC
Molecule: non-coding RNA, 509 nt
Filed under: Anolis carolinensis (green anole)
Lineage: Eukaryota; Metazoa; Chordata; Lepidosauria; Squamata; Anolidae
Description: Eukaryotic small subunit ribosomal RNA
Rfam family: Eukaryotic small subunit ribosomal RNA
Source: Rfam by way of RNAcentral